RNAcentral lists this long non-coding RNA (208 nucleotides) under Phoenix dactylifera (date palm). RNAcentral's name for it is "long non-coding RNA (PDAC_LNC016275)". The record is from RNAcentral. Lineage: Eukaryota; Viridiplantae; Streptophyta; Magnoliopsida; Arecales; Arecaceae.
CUCUCUCUCGGCAGAGCCUUCCCAACAGCGUCGCCAGCCCCUUCGCGCUUCCUUCGGCCGCCCUGUGACCAUCUCGGAGCGCCGCUCCACUUGCACCCAACCGCCGGAGAAGAAUACCGCCACCGCCCGCGCUGUUGUCCACUGAACCGGCCAUCCGCUGCGUCGCCUACGCACCUCUUCCAACUGCACGGUCCACAAUCGGCCGGAG